UAGCCUUAGGGACUGCUGCGACCUGCGCCCCACCCGCUGCUCCCGUCCUCCCCUGCCCUAGCCCCGAGGGGCCUCGGCCGAUCAGCCCCCCUGUCCUGAUCACCCGCGGACACCUGCUCUCUCGCCUUCUGCCCCCUGCCCUCGGUCAAGGCGCUCACCCAAUCCACUUACCACGUCCCCACCCCGCUGACCCCAGCUUCUUCGCGCUCCCCUAUGCACACUGCCCACUUCCCCUCCCUCCGCAAGGUCCGGGGCAGCCCUUCCCAGCACCCUGGACCCACGCAGGGCCCCGAUGCCUUGGUUGGGCACCAGCCCUGCCCCGAUGGCCGCGUCCUCCCGCUCCCCAGCCCAGCGCGUCCGAACCCGCCCGCCGUCCGCUGCUCUGUUGUCCCCUGAGCCGACGCCGGCUGACCCAGCCCUGCCCGGGCGACAGGUGGCUCCCGGAGUUGGGGUGCGGGGGAGCGAGGGGUUGUCCAGAGCUGGCCGAAGAGGGUAGGCACGGGGGCGUGGUAGCGAGGGAACCGCGAGCCCCGAGGGUGCGUGCGCGGCUCCGGUGCCUCAGCGCCUGCGUUGCAGCCCGCGGAAGCCCAGGAGCAUGGGGAGCUGCUUCUGGACUGAGCCGAGCUGGGGCUGGGGGCUGCCCACGGGUCCUCCCUGGAACGCGAGGCCCAGGGCCCCUCCCUCAGCUCCCUCCACCCCCCACCCCCAACCACCACCGCCCGACCUUGUCCGACAGGUGUCCCUCUCCGGAAUUCUUCAGGCAAGCCUGA
RNAcentral lists this long non-coding RNA (770 nucleotides) under Bos grunniens (domestic yak). RNAcentral describes it as "lncRNA (ENSBGRG00000009772.1)". Lineage: Eukaryota; Metazoa; Chordata; Mammalia; Artiodactyla; Bovidae. The record is from RNAcentral.